AAUGGAAUUGCUGGGUGAUGUGAUAAUCCCAUAUUUAUGUUUUUGAGUAACUACCAGAUUGUUUUCCAUAAUGACUACCAAUUUACCUUCCCACUAGCAAU
This 101-nucleotide microRNA precursor is filed under the name Marmota monax (woodchuck). Lineage: Eukaryota; Metazoa; Chordata; Mammalia; Rodentia; Sciuridae. The record is from RNAcentral.